GAUGAACGCUGGCGGCGUGCCUAAUACAUGCAAGUCGAGCGAACGGACGAGAAGCUUGCUUCUCUGAUGUUAGCGGCGGACGGGUGAGUAACACGUGGAUAACCUACCUAUAAGACUGGGAUAACUUCGGGAAACCGGAGCUAAUACCGGAUAAUCUUUUGAACCGCAUGGUUCAAAAGUGAAAGACGGUCUUGCUGUCACUUAUAGAUGGAUCCGCGCUGCAUUAGCUAGUUGGUAAGGUAACGGCUUACCAAGGCAACGAUGCAUAGCCGACCUGAGAGGGUGAUCGGCCACACUGGAACUGGAACACGGUCCAGACUCCUACGGGAGGCAGCAGUAGGGAAUCUUCCGCAAUGGGCGAAAGCCUGGCGGAGCAACGCCGCGUGAGUGAUGAAGGUCUUCGGAUCGUAAAACUCUGUUAUUAGGGAAGAACAUAUGUGUAAGUAACUGUGCACAUCUUGACGGUACCUAAUCAGAAAGCCACGGCUAACUACGUG
Molecule: ribosomal RNA, 497 nt
Filed under: uncultured bacterium
Lineage: Bacteria
Description: partial 16S ribosomal RNA
Rfam family: Bacterial small subunit ribosomal RNA
Source: RNAcentral